AUGAGGAUGACGGAAUCCCAGUGGCAAGAAGUAAUUGGUCUAAAUCUUACUGGUGUUUUCCUCUGUACAAAGGCUGCCACAAAAAUAAUGGCGAAGAAAAAGAAGGGAAGAGUCAUCAACAUAGCAUCAGUUGUUGGUCUUACUGGCAAUGCUGGGCAAGCAAAUUACAGUGCUGCCAAGGCUGGGGUCAUUGGUUUCACAAAAGCAGUUGCUAUGGAAUUGGCAAGCAGGAAUAUCAAUGUGAAUGCAACCGCACCUGGAUUCAUCGCAUCUGACAUGACCGCUGAACUUGGAGAGGAGCUUGAGAAGAGAAUCUUGUCAACUAUUCCCUUGGGGAGGUAUGUCCAGCCACUGGAAGUUGCUGGGUUGGUUGAGUUCUUGGCCUUGAAUCCUGGGGCGAGCUACAUCACCGGACAGGUGUUUGUCAUCGAUGGUGGGAUGGUAAUGUGA
RNAcentral lists this ribosomal RNA (450 nucleotides) under Triticum aestivum (bread wheat). Its description in RNAcentral is "partial small subunit ribosomal RNA". Lineage: Eukaryota; Viridiplantae; Streptophyta; Magnoliopsida; Poales; Poaceae. The record is from RNAcentral.